GAAUUCAACUCCUACGGGAGGCAGCAGUGGGGAAUUUUGGACAAUGGGCGCAAGCCUGAUCCAGCAAUGCCGCGUGAGUGAUGAAGGCCUUAGGGUUGUAAAGCUCUUUUACCCGGGAUGAUAAUGACAGUACCGGGAGAAUAAGCCCCGGCUAACUCCGUGCCAGCAGCCGCGGUAAUACGGAGGGGGCUAGCGUUGUUCGGAAUUACUGGGCGUAAAGCGCACGUAGGCGGCUUUGUAAGUUAGAGGUGAAAGCCCGGGGCUCAACUCCGGAACUGCCUUUAAGACUGCAUCGCUUGAAUCAUGGAGAGGUUAGUGGAAUUCCGAGUGUAGAGGUGAAAUUCGUAGAUAUUCGGAAGAACACCAGUGGCGAAGGCGACUAACUGGACAUGUAUUGCCGCUGAGGUGCGAAAGCGUGGGGAGCAAACAGGAUUAGAAACCCUUGUAGUCCAGGCGUU
RNAcentral lists this ribosomal RNA (458 nucleotides) under uncultured bacterium. RNAcentral's name for it is "bacterial SSU rRNA". It matches the Rfam family "Bacterial small subunit ribosomal RNA", at positions 328 to 803 of the family's 1533-position model. The record is from RNAcentral.